Schistocerca gregaria is the source of this 1112-nucleotide long non-coding RNA. RefSeq lists it as uncharacterized. NCBI's taxonomy places the organism in Eukaryota, Metazoa, Arthropoda, Insecta, Orthoptera, Acrididae. The record is from RefSeq and is a predicted model, not a curated record. The transcript has 2 exons.
GUCGCGUGAUCACGUGACAAUCCCAGCCUUAAAUUGACAACAUAACAUGUGCAAAACGCUCAAAACUCCACAGGUACUUCUAUUCUGUAUUUGAAAUGCAUUGUUGAAAUUCUUGACGUGUCGAAACGUGAAGCUACGGUCACUGUGAAUUGACGUUAAAUGUUAAACUACUACUAAUUUCGAUGCAGUUGGAAACCAUAUUGUGUGUUAGAAACCGAAGAAGUCAUGCAGAGAUUUCAUUCUUCGAACAAAUUCGCUGCAUUCUGGAAUGAUGAUGUAUAAGUGGCUUUUCUUUAUAUAUGCUCUUUGGGAUCCCGCUGAAAAUGUGAACUAUGGAUCAGGUGCUGUCAAACAUGUAUAAGGGUAUGAUGAUGCAAUUUUUUUGUGUCAUCUACAUGUGUUGUUUUACCUGCUGCCCAUAGGAAUUAUGCUGUUGCCAUGGUUACUGUAUUUGGAAGUGGCGUACGUUUUGAUACAGUCGUCGUACAAUGUUGAGCCCGAAGGCAUAGACAGUAAUCACUAAUGUCAUCACUUGGUGGAGCUUUUAAGCGGAGUUUGCUUUUCCUCAUAAAGUUGGCCUGGGACUCGCGAUUCCGCCUGCCUGUCAUAAUAACAGUUGGUUUUAUGGUACUAGAUGUGAGAAUGCAGCUGGAAAUAAACGUUGAUGUUGAUGCUCGUAAUAUGCCUGCUGAUUCUGAUGAUGACUCUGACGAAGAGGAAGAUGACGAUGAUGAUGAUGACGACGACGACGACGAUGAUGACGACGAGGAUGAGGAGGAGGAGGAGGAUUAAUGUGUUAGCAACAUGUAGGACGUACCUGAUGAUAUUUGUGAAAUCAGCAAAUGUGAAUUGUAGGACCCAGUGUCUAAUGGUGAGCUAGCAUGUAUAACAUAUAAUACGGAUACGUUAUGCCACUAUACUUUUAUUCAUGCCCUCUGCCAUUAUUUCAAACCGUAAGUCCUACGUAUAAAUAUUUGUGUUUGCCCAUUUAAGCUCAAACGAAGUUGUUACUGCAUUGCGUCAUAAUAAGGACAAGAUGAAUUGCAUUACCUCACCAGGACAUUUUUAAUGACAUUAAUAGAUUCAAUUUUAUUAAUGUUGUGUUGAUCGUC